This 74-nucleotide transfer RNA is filed under the name Brachypodium distachyon (stiff brome). It matches the Rfam family "tRNA". Rfam says of the family: Transfer RNA (tRNA) molecules are approximately 80 nucleotides in length. Their secondary structure includes four short double-helical elements and three loops (D, anti-codon, and T loops). The record is from Rfam by way of RNAcentral. Lineage: Eukaryota; Viridiplantae; Streptophyta; Magnoliopsida; Poales; Poaceae.
GGGGAUGUAGCUCAGUUGGUAGAGCGAUUGAAAUUGCUUUCAGUAGGCUUGGGGUUUGACUCCUCACAUCUCCA